The sequence is a ribosomal RNA, 322 nucleotides long. It matches the Rfam family "Bacterial large subunit ribosomal RNA", at positions 2610 to 2925 of the family's 2925-position model.
UUCAGAACGUCGUGAGACAGUUCGGUCCCUAUCUGUCGUGGGCGCAGGAUAUUUGAGGAGCGCUGUCCCUAGUACGAGAGGACCGGGAUGGACGUACCUCUGGUGUACCAGUUGUCAUGCCAGUGGCAUAGCUGGGCAGCUAAGUACGGAAUGGAUAAACGCUGAAAGCAUCUAAGCGUGAAGCCACCUUCAAGAUAAGAUAUCCCAUAGUGUUAAGCUAGUAAGACCCCUUGUAGACUACAAGGUUGAUAGGCAGCGUGUGUAAGCAUGGCGACAUGUUCAGCUUGGCUGUACUAAUAGGUCGAGGGCUUGUCUAAUACAA